Molecule: ribosomal RNA, 468 nt
Filed under: uncultured bacterium
Lineage: Bacteria
Description: bacterial SSU rRNA
Rfam family: Bacterial small subunit ribosomal RNA
Source: RNAcentral
GGUGCUACCAUGCAGUCGACGGAGGGCCCUGCUUUUGUGGGGUGCUCGAGUGGCGAACGGGUGAGUAACACGUGAGUAACCUGCCCUUGACUUUGGGAUAACUUCAGGAAACUGGGGCUAAUACCGGAUAGGAGCUCCUGCUGCAUGGUGGGGGUUGGAAAGUUUCGGCGGUUGGGGAUGGACUCGCGGCUUAUCAGCUUGUUGGUGGGGUAGUGGCUUACCAAGGCUUUGACGGGUAGCCGGCCUGAGAGGGUGACCGGCCACAUUGGGAUUGAGAUACGGCCCACACUCCUACGGGAGGCAGCAGUGGGGAAUAUUGCACAAUGGGCGGAAGCCUGAUGCAGCAACGCCGCGUGCGGGAUGACGGCCUUCGGGUUGUAAACCGCUUUCGCCUGUGACGAAGCGUGAGUGACGGUUAUGGGUAAAGAAGCACCGGCAAACUACGUGCCACACCCCCGGGAAAAAAAA